Molecule: ribosomal RNA, 253 nt
Filed under: uncultured bacterium
Lineage: Bacteria
Description: partial 16S ribosomal RNA
Rfam family: Bacterial small subunit ribosomal RNA
Source: RNAcentral
UACGAAGGGGGCUAGCGUUGCUCGGAAUCACUGGGCGUAAAGCGCACGUAGGCGGAUCUUUAAGUCAGGGGUGAAAUCCUGGAGCUCAACUCCAGAACUGCCUUUGAUACUGAGGAUCUCGAGUCCGGGAGAGGUGAGUGGAACUGCGAGUGUAGAGGUGAAAUUCGUAGAUAUUGGGAAGAACACCAGUGGCGAAGGCGGCUCACUGGCCCGUAACUGACGCUGAGGUGCGAAAGCGUGGGGAGCAAACAGG